AAUGAAUUAUGUUACUAUUUUGCAUCGUCUCUCCAUUUGAAUCUUUUUCAGGAUUGUGAAGUAGAGCAUGAACACGAGUAUUGGAAAUAUGUAGAGGAAGGUAACUUGUUAUGGUUAAGGUUAUUAUAAGUUUUGCCUAAUUCUAUUAGUUCUUAUGAUCCUGAUGCAAACUUGAUGAUUCUCUUGUUUGCUUCUUUCGUUUGGUCUUAAUUUAUCUCAGGAGCCUGUUCAAAUCAAUUAUGCACUUACUUUCUUACUGAAAUUUAGAAUGUUCAUUAGAACUCAAAGAAACUUGUUGAACUCAGUUUGCUUCUUGUUCCAUUAGGAUAAACCUGAGAGAGACACUACUUUGCCAACCGAGAUAUGCCAGAAACUUGAAGACGAUUUGAGCUAGUGAUAUCAAUUAGAGGACCAGAUGGUCCAGAUUCAUCCAAUCAUUGAUAAAGAGCCCGUACCAACCUGAUAAACGAAGAUACAUCAAAACACGAAGAGUACCUGAUCAGCCUCUUCCACAUCUAGUUUAAACUGCAUACAUGCAUACAUGCAUACAUGCAUACAUUCAUAUAUGCAUACACAUGCAUAUAUCAUACAUUCAUGCAUAUAUUUGCUUUCUUGAUUUUUUUAUUAGAUCAUUGCUUGCUUCUUUAGUACAUUUGUUAACAACUUGUUCUUGUUUGUUUCUUGUGCUUAUCUCAGUUCGUAACGUGCUUGCUUGUUUCUUGCACUGAUUGCUUACAUGUUUAGCUUGUUCAAUUAAUUCCUUCUUUGUUUCAUUGAUUAUUUGAUCGUUGCUUGACUUGUUUGUUUGUUUCUUCUUGGUUCCUUGAUUUACUUUACUUCAUUGGGCAGCCUUCUUCUUGGAUACUCGCUUACUUAAUUGUUUCAAUCAUUUUCUUUACACAUUCGUUUGCUUGUUUCCUUCCUUGAUCCUUUGGUUUUUCUUUUUCUUUUUUACUUUCGUCACUAUUUCUUACUUGAACUUCUCUACUUGUUUCGUUGUUUGCUUACGAUUUUCAUUUGGUUUCUCGCUUUCUUUUGCUUUCUUUACUUCUUCCAUAGUUCCAUUGCUUGCUUAGACGUAAUUGUUUAAGAAAACAUCUCCCCA
This 1105-nucleotide long non-coding RNA is filed under the name Arabidopsis thaliana (thale cress). Its description in RNAcentral is "long non-coding RNA (ATHA_LNC000439)". The record is from RNAcentral. Lineage: Eukaryota; Viridiplantae; Streptophyta; Magnoliopsida; Brassicales; Brassicaceae.